This 468-nucleotide ribosomal RNA is filed under the name uncultured bacterium. RNAcentral's name for it is "partial 16S ribosomal RNA". It matches the Rfam family "Bacterial small subunit ribosomal RNA", at positions 28 to 507 of the family's 1533-position model. The record is from RNAcentral.
GACGAACGCUGGCGGCGUGCCUAACACAUGCAAGUCGAACGGAAAGGCCCUGCUUUUGUGGGGUGCUCGAGUGGCGAACGGGUGAGUAACACGUGUGUAACCUGCCCUUGACUUUGGGAUAACUUCUGGAAACUGGGGCUAAUACCGGAUAGGAGCUCCUGCUGCACGGUGGGGGUUGGAAAGUUUCGGCGGUUGGGGAUGGACUCGCGGCUUAUCAGCUUGUUGGUGGGGUAGUGGCUUACCAAGGCUUUGACGGGUAGCCGACGUGAGAGGGGGACCAGCCACAUUGGUACUGCGGGACGGAGCAGUCGCGUACGGGACGCAGCAGUGGGGAGUAUUGCGCAAUGAGCGGAAGCCUGUGACGGCAGCGCCGCGUGCGUGAUGACGGCCUUCGGGGGGUGAACCGCUUUCGCCUGAGACGAAGCGUGAGUGACGGUAAUGGGUAAAGAAGCACCGGCUAACUACGUG